This 740-nucleotide ribosomal RNA is filed under the name Lithobates montezumae (Montezuma leopard frog). RNAcentral describes it as "partial 12S ribosomal RNA". It matches the Rfam family "Bacterial small subunit ribosomal RNA", at positions 304 to 1354 of the family's 1533-position model. The record is from RNAcentral. Lineage: Eukaryota; Metazoa; Chordata; Amphibia; Anura; Ranidae.
UCAGUCUCAGCACACCAGUGAGGACGCCCUUUAGUUCUACUCCAGAAAAAGGAGCCGGUAUCAGGCACAAACCGCCCACAACACCUAGUCCCACCACACCCCCAAGGGUAAUCAGCAGUGAUUAAUCUUGUACAUAAGCGUAAGCUUGAUUCAGUUAAAGAAAAGAGGGCCGGCCAACAUUGGUGCCAGCCGCCGCGGCUACACCCUAGGGCCCAAGUUGAUAAUCAUCGGCGUUAAGCGUGAUUAAAGUAACUAGAAACUAGGAUUAAAUUAAUGCUUAGCAGUUUUAUGCUUGCUAUUAAGAAAUACACAAACGAAAGUUAUCCUAUAUACGUAUGCUUGAAUACACGACAGCUAGGAAGACAAACUGGGAUUAGAUACCCCACUAUGCCUAGCCGUAAACAAUUAACUUACACCCAUCAGCGCCAGGGAACUACGAGCAAUGCUUAAAACCCAAAGGAUUUGACGGUGUCCCACCCAACUAGAGGAGCCUGUUCUUUAAUCGAUGAUCCCCGCUACACCUGACCAUUUCUUGCUCAUCAGUCUGUAUACCUCCGUCGAAAGCUUACCAUGUGAACGUCCUCAGUAGGCUCAAUGAUCUAUAACACAUCAACACGUCAGGUCAAGGUGCAACUUAAGAAAUGGGAAGUAAUUGGCUACAAUUUCUAAUCUAGAACAAACGAAAGGCUAUGUGAAACCAUAGCAGCGAAGGUGGAUUUAGUAGUAAAAAGAAAACAGAG